Rattus norvegicus (Norway rat) is the source of this 552-nucleotide non-coding RNA. NCBI's taxonomy places the organism in Eukaryota, Metazoa, Chordata, Mammalia, Rodentia, Muridae. The record is from RefSeq and is a predicted model, not a curated record.
UUUCCCUGUGGGCAAUUUAAAGAGGACUGGCAGAGCCCAGCCUUGGGCAGGCCAGAUGUGCCACAGGCACCAAGACUGGACCAACAUGGCAGACUUGGAACCAGGGAGAAUUUUAUACUGGAACCUGAGUGUGAACUGAGAUCCAAACAGAAGAAACCAGGGGGUGGAAAGAAAAGAGAUUAUUAUCAUUUUGUCACCAGCGGCGCCGCUGUCCCUAAACUCUACGAUGACUGAAUUGUUACCACAUACACAUCUGCGGAGAGAGCUUCAAAAGACAAAUGGAUUCCUAAUGCAAAGAAGAGAUUACAGACCAUAGAAACCGCAGGGCAUCCUACCCUCCCGUUCACCAGGAAGCAAGGAUGGUUACGACUCCCCAAAGAGGACGAAGGGGGGUUGCAGUCUCAGCCAUGUCCCCAGGCCCACAGCAAAUAGACAGCCACGCAGGGCUUCCUUCGAAGUUGGCUGGGACUCCUUCUGCUCUCCCGGCUUCCUACUGCCACCUCUUCAAGACUCCUGAGUCUCACUGUAACGUUAUUAAAUUAUUUAUAGUUU